RNAcentral lists this ribosomal RNA (937 nucleotides) under Marinococcus tarijensis. RNAcentral describes it as "bacterial SSU rRNA". It matches the Rfam family "Bacterial small subunit ribosomal RNA", at positions 49 to 936 of the family's 1533-position model. Lineage: Bacteria; Bacillati; Bacillota; Bacilli; Caryophanales; Bacillaceae. The record is from RNAcentral.
CUAUACAUGCAGUCGAGCGCGGGAAGCCGGCGGACUCCUUCGGGAGGAAACCGGUGGAACGAGCGGCGGACGGGUGAGUAACACGUGGGCAACCUGCCGGACUGAUGGGAAUAACCCCGGGAAACCGGGGCUAAUGCCCAAUACGCCCUGACCUCGCCUGAGGUCAGCGGCAAAGCAGGGAUCUUCGGAUCCUUGCACAGUCCGAUGGGCCCGCGGCGCAUUAGCUAGUUGGAGAGGUAAGGGCUCCCCAAGGCGACGAUGCGUAGCCGACCUGAGAGGGUGAUCGGCCACACUGGGACUGAGACACGGCCCAGACUCCUACGGGAGGCAGCAGUAGGGAAUCAUCCGCAAUGGGCGAAAGCCUGACGGUGCAACGCCGCGUGAGUGAUGAAGGUUUUCGGAUCGUAAAGCUCUGUUGACAGGGAAGAACCCACGCCAGUCGAACAGGCUGGCGUGCUGACGGUACCUGUCCAGAAAGCCCCGGCUAACUACGUGCCAGCAGCCGCGGUAAUACGUAGGGGGCAAGCGUUGUCCGGAAUUAUUGGGCGUAAAGGGCACGCAGGCGGUUUCGUCAGUCCGAUGUGACAGGCCACGGCUCAACCGUGGAAGGCCAUUGGAAACUGCGAAACUUGAGGACAGAAGAGGAGAGUGGAAUUCCACGUGUAGCGGUGAAAUGCGUAGAUAUGUGGAGGAACACCAGUGGCGAAGGCGACUCUCUGGUCUGUACCUGACGCUGAGGUGCGAAAGCAUGGGGAGCAAACAGGAUUAGAUUACCCUGGUAGUCCAUGCCGUAAACGCUGAGUGCUAGGGUGUUAGGGGGUUUCGAUACCCGGUAAUGGCCGAAGCUAACGCAUUAAAGCACUCCCGCCUGGGGGAGUACGACCCGCAAGGGUUGAAACUCCAAGGGAAUUUGACGGGGGGCCCUGCACAAGGCGGU